RNAcentral lists this ribosomal RNA (653 nucleotides) under uncultured bacterium. RNAcentral describes it as "bacterial SSU rRNA". It matches the Rfam family "Bacterial small subunit ribosomal RNA", at positions 202 to 842 of the family's 1533-position model. The record is from RNAcentral.
AAAAGGUGGCUAUGCUACCGCUUUUGGAUGGGCCCGCGGCGCAUUAGCUAGUUGGUGGGGUAAAGGCUUACCAAGGCAAUGAUGCGUAGCCGAACUGAGAGGUUGAUCGGCCACAUUGGGACUGAGACACGGCCCAAACUCCUACGGGAGGCAGCAGUAGGGAAUCUUCCACAAUGGGCGAAAGCCUGAUGGAGCAACGCCGCGUGGGUGGAGAAGGUCUUCGGAUCGUAAAACCCUGUUGUUAGAGAAGAAAGUGCGUGAGAGUAACUGUUCACGUUUCGACGGUAUCUAACCAGAAAGCCACGGCUAACUACGUGCCAGCAGCCGCGGUAAUACGUAGGUGGCAAGCGUUAUCCGGAUUUAUUGGGCGUAAAGGGAACGCAGGCGGUCUUUUAAGUCUGAUGUGAAAGCCUUCGGCUUAACCGGAGUAGUGCAUUGGAGACUGGGAGACUUGAGUGCAGAAGAGGAGAGUGGAACUCCAUGUGUAGCGGUGAAAUGCGUAGAUAUAUGGAAGAACACCAGUGGCGAAAGCGACUCUCUGGUCUGUAACUGACGCUGAGGUUCGAAAGCGUGGGUAGCAAACAGGAUUAGAUACCCUGGUAGUCCACGCCGUAAACGAUGAAUGCUAAGUGUUGGAGGGUUUCCGCCCUUCA